This 680-nucleotide ribosomal RNA is filed under the name Monophylla californica. RNAcentral describes it as "eukaryotic LSU rRNA". It matches the Rfam family "Eukaryotic large subunit ribosomal RNA", at positions 651 to 1283 of the family's 3401-position model. The record is from RNAcentral. Lineage: Eukaryota; Metazoa; Arthropoda; Insecta; Coleoptera; Cleridae.
GUCUUGAAACACGGACCGAGGAAUAUAGCAUGUGCGCGGUCUUGGGAAUAACUAAACCUAAAGGCGCAAUGAAAGUGAAGGUUCGCCUUGCGCGGACCGAGGGAGGAUGGGCGGUCGCCACCGCAAGAUGGCCCGCCCCGCACUCCCGGGGCGUCUCGUUCUCAUUGCGAGAAGAGGCGCACCAAGAGCGUACACGCUGGGACCCGAAAGAUGGUGAACUAUGCCUGGUCAGGACGAAGUCAGGGGAAACCCUGAUGGAGGUCCGUAGCGAUUCUGACGUGCAAAUCGAUCGUCGGAACUGGGUAUAGGGGCGAAAGACUAAUCGAACCAUCUAGUAGCUGGUUCCCUCCGAAGUUUCCCUCAGGAUAGCUGGCGCUCGUCGCCUACGAGUCUCAUCCGGUAAAGCGAAUGAUUAGAGGCAUUGGGGUCGAAACGGCCUCAACCUAUUCUCAAACUUUAAAUGGGUGAGAUCUCCGGCUUGCUCGAACUAUUGAAGCCGCGAGACACGGAUCAGAGUGCCAAGUGGGCCAUUUUUGGUAAGCAGAACUGGCGCUGUGGGAUGAACCAAACGCCGAGUUAAAGCGCCUAAAUCGACGCUUAUGGGAUACCAUGAAAGGCGUUGGUAACUUAAGACAGCAGGACGGUGGCCAUGGAAGUCGGAAUCCGCUAAGGAGUGUUGU